Non-coding RNA from Doryrhamphus excisus (bluestripe pipefish), 535 nucleotides. NCBI's taxonomy places the organism in Eukaryota, Metazoa, Chordata, Actinopteri, Syngnathiformes, Syngnathidae. The record is from RefSeq and is a predicted model, not a curated record.
AAUCUAAUCUAAUCUAAUCUAAUAAUUACCUCAUAUCACAGCACAUUUCUAGAGUACAAACAUCUGGAGUUAAAUUAAAAAGAGUGAAAGAGUUGAUUCUUGAACCCUGACUAGCAUGUUGUUAAGGACGACUACCAGGCAGUGACAUUUCUUGGAGUUGAUUUUUGAACCCUGCUUCACUGAUUUUUGCUCAGUUUGUUGAUAAAAACUACUUAGCAUUAGCUAACCACCUUUCUGUUCAUCAUUCACCGUUCCUGAAAAUGUUUAUUGUUCUUCAAUUUGUGUCUGCUUGUCGAAAACGAGCACAGCACUGGAAGUCAGAGACCACCAGGCCAUAGAAGUGGAUGAGGACGUCUUUCCUCAAGUUGAAGAAGAACAGUUAAAGAUCUAUACUCAUCUAUACUGAUGAGGAGUUUGGUGAUGGCUCCAACCUGACUGACUCUCACUACGUGACUCACUACAUUCACUACAUGUGGCAAGCAGAGUUAUACUGUACGUCAUGUUUGGUCUUGAGCCAGGGAUUAUUUAUACAGGC